This 468-nucleotide ribosomal RNA is filed under the name uncultured bacterium. Its description in RNAcentral is "partial 16S ribosomal RNA". It matches the Rfam family "Bacterial small subunit ribosomal RNA", at positions 28 to 507 of the family's 1533-position model. The record is from RNAcentral.
GACGAACGCUGGCGGCGGGCUUAACACAUGCAAGUCGAGCGGAAAGGCCCUGCUUUUGUGGGGUGCUCGAGUGGCGAACGGGUGAGGAACACGUGAGUAACCUGCCCUUGCCUUUGGGAUAACUUCAGGUAACUGGGGCUAAUACCGGAUAGGACCUCCUGCUGCAUGGUGGGGGUUGGGAAGUUUCGGCGGGGGGGGAUGGACUGGCGGCUUAUCAGUUUGUUGUUGGGGUAGUGGCUUACCACGGCUUUGGCGGGUAGCCGGCCCGAGGGGGUGACCGGCAAGAUUGGGACUGAGAUACGGCCCAGACUCCGACGGGAGGGAGCAGUGGGGAACAUUGCACAAGGGGCGGAAGUCUGACGAAGCAAAGCCGCGAGCGGGAUGACGGCCAUCGGGUUGUAAACCGCUUUCGCCUGUGACGACGGGUGAGUGACGGUAAUGGGUAAAGAAGCACCGGCUAACUACGUG